This 1085-nucleotide ribosomal RNA is filed under the name Microbacterium sp. RNAcentral describes it as "bacterial SSU rRNA". It matches the Rfam family "Bacterial small subunit ribosomal RNA", at positions 51 to 1152 of the family's 1533-position model. The record is from RNAcentral. Lineage: Bacteria; Bacillati; Actinomycetota; Actinomycetes; Micrococcales; Microbacteriaceae.
ACACAUGCAGUCGAACGGUGAACACGGAGCUUGCUCUGUGGGAUCAGUGGCGAACGGGUGAGUAACACGUGAGCAACCUGCCCCUGACUCUGGGAUAAGCGCUGGAAACGGCGUCUAAUACUGGAUAUGUGACGUGACCGCAUGGUCUGCGUUUGGAAAGAUUUUUCGGUUGGGGAUGGGCUCGCGGCCUAUCAGCUUGUUGGUGAGGUAAUGGCUCACCAAGGCGUCGACGGGUAGCCGGCCUGAGAGGGUGACCGGCCACACUGGGACUGAGACACGGCCCAGACUCCUACGGGAGGCAGCAGUGGGGAAUAUUGCACAAUGGGCGGAAGCCUGAUGCAGCAACGCCGCGUGAGGGAUGACGGCCUUCGGGUUGUAAACCUCUUUUAGCAGGGAAGAAGCGAAAGUGACGGUACCUGCAGAAAAAGCGCCGGCUAACUACGUGCCAGCAGCCGCGGUAAUACGUAGGGCGCAAGCGUUAUCCGGAAUUAUUGGGCGUAAAGAGCUCGUAGGCGGUUUGUCGCGUCUGCUGUGAAAUCCCGAGGCUCAACCUCGGGCCUGCAGUGGGUACGGGCAGACUAGAGUGCGGUAGGGGAGAUUGGAAUUCCUGGUGUAGCGGUGGAAUGCGCAGAUAUCAGGAGGAACACCGAUGGCGAAGGCAGAUCUCUGGGCCGUAACUGACGCUGAGGAGCGAAAGGGUGGGGAGCAAACAGGCUUAGAUACCCUGGUAGUCCACCCCGUAAACGUUGGGAACUAGUUGUGGGGUCCAUUCCACGGAUUCCGUGACGCAGCUAACGCAUUAAGUUCCCCGCCUGGGGAGUACGGCCGCAAGGCUAAAACUCAAGGAAUUGACGGGGACCCGCACAAGCGGCGGAGCAUGCGGAUUAAUUCGAUGCAACGCGAAGAACCUUACCAAGGCUUGACAUAUACGAGAACGGGCCAGAAAUGGUCAACUCUUUGGACACUCGUAAACAGGUGGUGCAUGGUUGUCGUCAGCUCGUGUCGUGAGAUGUUGGGUAAGUCCCGCACGAGCGCAACCCUCGUUCUAUGUGCAGCACGUAAUGGUGGAACUCAUGGGAUACUGC